AACUUAAUAACUUCAUGUUAAACACGUUUCAUUCUUCCUUCUAUACCUAGACAAUCUACUUUGCUUUUAACAUCUUUUAUUGUUUUCAUUAUGUUCCUCUUUUAUGUAUAGCAGUGAUAAGAAAAUACUGAGAAUUUAAAAUGUAAGAAAUAAUACAUUCUAUUAAAAUUUUAAAAGAAAUCCUCCUGUUACCGAAGACAGAGCAAAGACAUAUACUGAAAUUUGUUCCAUCUGAAAAACCUGCUUAAAAUGACAGUAAAUAGCUUCUCUCUUGCUUUCCUUUUUUUUUUAAGCCACAAGAAAUGAAAGAAUCCAGAGAAGAUGAGGGAGAACCAUGAAACAAUUUGAGAAGCUGGCCAACAGAAGCAUGGCUUCUAACUGAGAAUACCUAAGGAAAUUCCACCCUCAUUGUGUUUUAACACCAUAGUGUUAGGAGAGCUGCAAGGUUGUAUGUACUACAGAGUCAAGGCUUCUUGGACAUCCAAUUUAUAUUUCUCAGAAAGGAAAUGACAUAUUAGAGUACUACUCAGCAGUAAAAAACAAGGACUUCUUGAAGUUUGCAGGCAAAUGGAUGGAAAUAGAAAACACUAUCCUGAGUGAGUUCAGGGAAUCUCAUGGAAAUGUAGGCAAAAAGGUUUGUGUUUUAGGCUGCAGAGGACUGCUGCACACAGGAAGUCACAACUACAACCCAUGCAGGACCUCCCAUAGAGCAAGAGAACCUUCAUCUGGUGAUGGAUGGAGAUAGAGACAGAGACCCACACUGGAGCACUGGACUGAGCUCCCAAGGUCCCAAUGAGGAGCAGAUGGAGGGAGAACACGAGCAAGGAUGUCAGGACCACGCAGGGUGCACCCACCCACUGAGACAGUGGGGGCUGAUCUAUUGGGAGCUCACCAAAGCCAGCUGGACUGUGACUGAAAAACAUGGGAUAAAACCGGACUCUCUGAUCAUGGCGAACAAUGAGGACUGAUGAGAAGCCAAGGUCAAUGGCAAGGGGUUCUGAUCCUACUUCAUGUUCCGGCUUGGUGGGAGCCUAGCCAGUUUGGAUGUUCACCUUCCUAGACAUGGACGGAGGGGGGAGGACCUUGGACUUUCCACAGGGCAGGGAACCAUGACUGCUCUUUGGAUUAGAGAGGG
Alexandromys fortis (reed vole) is the source of this 1135-nucleotide long non-coding RNA. RefSeq lists it as uncharacterized. Lineage: Eukaryota; Metazoa; Chordata; Mammalia; Rodentia; Cricetidae. The transcript is spliced from 3 exons. The record is from RefSeq and is a predicted model, not a curated record.